Molecule: ribosomal RNA, 253 nt
Filed under: uncultured bacterium
Lineage: Bacteria
Description: partial 16S ribosomal RNA
Rfam family: Bacterial small subunit ribosomal RNA
Source: RNAcentral
UACGGAGGGUGCAAGCGUUAUCCGGAUUUACUGGGUUUAAAGGGUGCGUAGGUGGGCAGGUAAGUCAGUGGUGAAAUCUCCGGGCUUAACUCGGAAACUGCCAUUGAUACUAUCUGUCUUGAAUAUCCUGGAGGUAAGCGGAAUAUGUCAUGUAGCGGUGAAAUGCUUAGAUAUGACAUAGAACACCCAUUGCGAAGACAGCUUACUACGGGAUUAUUGACACUGAGGCACGAAAGCGUGGGGAUCAAACAGG